GGAAUUUCACAUGGAACCUUUACUAAGGAAUCGUUCCUCCUUUGGUGCUCUUUUCAAGCUUGUAAAUGGUAUCAGCUCUGCAGAAGAUAAGCCGUGUGUGGAUGUGCCAUAUGCUAACUUUUGGUUUUCCAUCCAGUGACGGAAGGAUACUUUAGUUUUCCUUAUCACUUGCUGGUGAAGACUGUAUUUUUAAAUGGAUACUAUACAAACUAAGUCAUCACAGAAAAAGAAAGAGGCGAUACCAAGAAAGGCUUCAACAGAGCCCUUCUCUCUGCCCACAGGCAAAAGACUCCGUAAGACUAUGUGAUUUGGAUACAUCCAAGGGAUAUUCUCGUUGAAAGGUCAGCUGUGCUAUUCGAGGGUAUCAGAGAAAAGGAUAAUUCUAUGAGAAUACUUAAUGAAGUAUACAGACUAAAGGCAAUCAGAAUUUCUCAAGAUGAAAAGCUUCAUGUAGGUAUGAUGAUCAUGGACUGUUUCUUGGACACUUUAUUGAGUGCCUGCUAUGAAGUAGAUGUUGUUCUGGAAAUAUGAUGCAGCGGUGAAUAGAAAAAUUGCCUCUGGGUCACCAGGAAAUGGAAGGGGAAAGAGGGUUGGAAAGGACAAAUAUGAACACAAUGUAUUCUUCUCUUUCUUCUUUUUGAG
Molecule: small RNA, 642 nt
Filed under: Rattus norvegicus (Norway rat)
Lineage: Eukaryota; Metazoa; Chordata; Mammalia; Rodentia; Muridae
Description: uncharacterized LOC102552523
Source: RNAcentral